UGGGGAAUAUUGGACAAUGGGGGCAACCCUGAUCCAGCAAUGCCGCGUGUGUGAAGAAGGUCUUCGGAUUGUAAAGCACUUUCGACGGGGACGAUGAUGACGGUACCCGUAGAAGAAGCCCCGGCUAACUUCGUGCCAGCAGCCGCGGUAAUACGAAGGGGGCUAGCGUUGCUCGGAAUGACUGGGCGUAAAGGGCGUGUAGGCGGUUUACACAGUCAGAUGUGAAAAUCCCCGGGCUUAACCUGGGAGCUGCAUUUGAUACGUGUAGACUAGAGUGUGAGAGAGGGUUUGUGGAAUUCCCAGUGUAGAGGUGAAAUUCGUAGAUAUUGGGAAGAACACCGGUGGCGAAGGCGGCAACCUGGCUCAUGACUGACGCUGAGGCGCGAAAGCGUGGGGAGCAAACAGGAUUAGAUACCCUGGUAGUCCACGCUGUAAACGAUGUGUGCUAGAUGUUGGGUAACUUUGUUA
Molecule: ribosomal RNA, 468 nt
Filed under: uncultured bacterium
Lineage: Bacteria
Description: partial 16S ribosomal RNA
Rfam family: Bacterial small subunit ribosomal RNA
Source: RNAcentral